This 254-nucleotide ribosomal RNA is filed under the name uncultured bacterium. RNAcentral's name for it is "partial 16S ribosomal RNA". It matches the Rfam family "Bacterial small subunit ribosomal RNA", at positions 524 to 776 of the family's 1533-position model. The record is from RNAcentral.
CACGUAGGGGGCGAGCGUUGUCCGGAAUCACUGGGCGUAAAGAGCUCGUAGGCGGCUCAGUAAGUCGGGUGUGAAACCCCCAGGCUCAACCUGGGGACGCCACCCGAUACUGCUGUGGCUAGAGUCCAGUAGGGGAGUGUGGAAUUCCCGGUGUAGCGGUGAAAUGCGCAGAUAUCGGGAGGAGCACCAGCGGCGAAGGCGGCACUCUGGGCUGGAACUGACGCUGAGGAGCGAAAGCGUGGGUAGCAAACAGG